This 356-nucleotide unclassified non-coding RNA is filed under the name uncultured fungus. Its description in RNAcentral is "partial contains small subunit ribosomal RNA, internal transcribed spacer 1, and 5.8S ribosomal RNA". The stretch from base 1 to 73 matches the Rfam family "Eukaryotic small subunit ribosomal RNA", at positions 1759 to 1831 of the family's 1831-position model. The record is from RNAcentral. Lineage: Eukaryota; Fungi.
GCAAACUUGGUCAUUUAGAGGAAGUAAAAGUCGUAACAAGGUUUCCGUAGGUGAACCUGCGGAAGGAUCAUUAAUGAAUAAACUUGGUCGAGCUGUUGCUGGUCCUUCGGGGCAUGUGCACGCUUGCCACCAAUUUUAACCACCUGUGCACUUUAUGUAGACUGGAAACGAUUCUCGAGGCAACUCGGAUUGAGGACUGCUGUGCGCAAGCCAGCUGUCCUUGUGUUUCUCAGUCUAUGUUUUUCAUAUACCCCGAAUGUAUGUAUUAGAAUGUAUUGCUAGGCCUUAGUGCCUUUAAAUCAAAUACAACUUUCAACAACGGAUCUCUUGGCUCUCGCAUCGAUGAAGAACGCAGC